This 497-nucleotide ribosomal RNA is filed under the name uncultured bacterium. Its description in RNAcentral is "partial 16S ribosomal RNA". It matches the Rfam family "Bacterial small subunit ribosomal RNA", at positions 28 to 507 of the family's 1533-position model. The record is from RNAcentral.
GAUGAACGCUGGCGGCGUGCCUAAUACAUGCAAGUCGAGCGAACAGACGAGGAGCUUGCUCCUCUGACGUUAGCGGCGGACGGGUGAGUAACACGUGGAUAACCUACCUAUAAGACUGGGAUAACUUCGGGAAACCGGAGCUAAUACCGGAUAAUAUAUUGAACCGCAUGGUUCAAUAGUGAAAGACGGUUUUGCUGUCACUUCUAGAUGGAUCCGCGCCGCAUUAGCUAGUUGGUAAGGUAACGGCUUACCAAGGCAACGAUGCGUAGCCGACCUGAGAGGGUGAUCGGCCACACUGGAACUGAGACACGGUCCAGACUCCUACGGGAGGCAGCAGUAGGGAAUCUUACGCAAUGGGCGAAAGCCUGACGGAGCAACGCCGCGUGAGUGAUGAAGGUCUUCGGAUCGUAAAACUCUGUUAUUAGGGAAGAACAAAUGUGUAAGUAACUGUGCACGUCUUGACGGUACCUAAUCAGAAAGCCACGGCUAACUACGUG